Molecule: ribosomal RNA, 497 nt
Filed under: uncultured bacterium
Lineage: Bacteria
Description: partial 16S ribosomal RNA
Rfam family: Bacterial small subunit ribosomal RNA
Source: RNAcentral
GAUGAACGCUGGCGGCGUGCCUAAUACAUGCAAGUCGAGCGAACGGACGAGAAGCUUGCUUCUCUGAUGUUAGCGGCGGACGGGUGGGUAACACGUGGAUAACCUACCUAUAAGACUGGGAUAACUUCGGGAAACCGGAGCUAAUACCGGAUAAUAUUUUGAACCGCAUGGUUCAAAAGUGAAAGACGGUCUUGCUGUCACUUAUAGAUGGAUCCGCGCUGCAUUAGCUAGUUGGUAAGGUAACGGCUUACCGAGGCAACGAUGCAUAGCCGACCUGAGAGGGUGAUCGGCCACACUGGAACUGAGACACGGUCCAGACUCCUACGGGAGGCAGCAGUAGGGAAUCUUCCGCAAUGGGCGAAAGCCUGACGGAGCAACGCCGCGUGAGUGAUGAAGGUCUUCGGAUCGUAAAACUCUGUUAUUAGGGAAGAACAUAUGUGUAAGUAACUGUGCACAUCUUGACGGUACCUAAUCAGAAAGCCACGGCUAACUACGUG